UUUUGGUAAGCAGAACUGGCGCUGUGGGAUGAACCAAACGCUGGGUUACGGCGCCCGAUGCGAGACGCUCAUGAGACCCCAUGAAAGGUGUUGGUUGCUCCAGACAGCAGGACGGUGGCCAUGGAAGUCGGAAUCCGCUAAGGAGUGUGUAACAACUCACCUGCCGAAGCAACUAGCCCUGAAAAUGGAUGGCGCUCCAGCGUCGAGCCCAUACCCAGCCGCUGCAGCAGAGCUCCCCUGUGGAGGUUUACGCGGCAGUGAGUAGGAGGGUCGCGACGGGGAGCGUUGAAGGUGCCGGGCGCGAGCCCGCCUGGAGCCCCCGUCGGUGCAGAUCUUGGUGGUAGUAGCAAAUACUCAAGUGAGAACCUUGAGGACUGAAGUUGGAGAAGGGUUCCAUGUGAACAGCAGUUGAACAUGGGUCAGUCGGCCCUAAGGGAUCGGAGAAGUCCGUUCCGAAGCGAGACCUUACGUCCGAACGCAAGUCUCGCUGCUGACCGAAAGGGAAUGGGGUCAAUAUUCCCCAACCCGGACACGGAGAUUGAGCUUUCGGGCUCGAGUGCGGCGACGCAACCGAACUCGGAGAAGUCGACGGAGGAUCCAGGGAAGAGUUGUCUUUUCUUUGUAAGGGUUCGUGUCCCUGGAAUCGGCUCGUCCGGAGAUAGGGACGCUGUUCCCGUAAAAGCACCGCGGCUCUUGCGGUGUCUGGUUCGCCUCUGUCGGCCCUUGCAAAUCCGAGGGAGAUGGUGUGAUUUUCGUGCCGGACCGUACCCAUAUCCGCAGCA
This 782-nucleotide ribosomal RNA is filed under the name Heteropoda languida. RNAcentral's name for it is "eukaryotic LSU rRNA". It matches the Rfam family "Eukaryotic large subunit ribosomal RNA", at positions 1135 to 1861 of the family's 3401-position model. The record is from RNAcentral. Lineage: Eukaryota; Metazoa; Arthropoda; Arachnida; Araneae; Sparassidae.